This is a long non-coding RNA of Musa acuminata AAA Group (dessert banana), 787 nucleotides long. RefSeq lists it as uncharacterized. The record is from RefSeq and is a predicted model, not a curated record. Lineage: Eukaryota; Viridiplantae; Streptophyta; Magnoliopsida; Zingiberales; Musaceae. The transcript has 2 exons.
UUUUUUUUUAUGGAGCUAAAGAAUUUGACCAUGAAGAAAAGAUAGAGCUAAUUCAGAGGAUGUUUUUAUUUUUGUUGAUACAAAUCAUGGUAAGCUAUUCAUGCACACUAUGAAGAGGAUGGAUGGGCCCAAGCAAGCCCAAUUUAGCCCAUGGAAGCCCAAUCUUCGCCCCUCUUCUCCUCGUCACCUUCACCUCAUCACCCUAUUCAAAAAGAGGAGGCAACUGUCGGCGGCGCGUGUGCUCGUGGCUUCCCAUCGCUACCGCCAGACUCCCCUUCCUCCCCUCAAGAACACAUCACAGACUGCCGUCGAUCUUCUUCGGUUCUUCCACCCCUGAGUUCCAAGAGACAUUCUUGAUGAUACCCUCUUUGAUGCAAUUUGUGGAAUGAUCGAAGAGAGGUUCUUGUUCACAAAAAAAGAAGAAAAUGAGGGUGUUUUUGCAGUGGGUUCAGUGGUUACUUUCAAGAAUUCUGCUUGAUGAUGCUCUAUUCAAAGCGUGGAAAUGUUUGAUGGAAGGGGAGAGGCCAAAUUGAAGAAGAACUUGGUUCGGAAAUAAUCUUCAUAAUUAGUCCACAAGUAUGAAUUGACUGACUUGUGAGAAACAUCAGAAUCAUGAUAUGAUCAAAGGGGAAACCUAAAUGUAAGUAUGCUUUUAGGACCUUGUUCUAGUGCUUGAGGGCAUAGCACAUUGUUAUCUAAAGAUUAGUUACUUUGCUAUGGGAUAUAGGUCUUGUCUGAUAUCUUAAUAAAUAUUUUCAAGAUCCAGGCAGGAUCUCUAUGAGCUGUA